GCUGAAUUUGUUCCGUGUUUCAUAGAAAGCUCUGGGAUUUCUUUUGCAUUUUAGUUGUCAAGUAAAACAUGGGACUUGUUUUUAGCUCACGAUUCCUCUUUCUCAGUGUCCCAGGAAAGACAGUUUUAGAAUUAAAUUGGGGGAUUCCAUCUUUCCAAAUUUUUGGUUUACUUUUUUAACAAUAUUAUUAUUAUUAUUUUAGUAUUUUUGAUGCUGGUGAUCAAGCCCUGGCCUUUGUACUCGGUGCAGUGCCACUUGAGUUAGAGCCUCAGUUCUUGUUGACUUUUGCACCCUCACCCCUGUAAGUGAUUUUAGACUUAAGUGGUCCUACUAAGCAUCAAGGACAACUGAGAGUCCAAACGCUGCCAUUCCCUAAGUUCAUCCUUGAACUAAGUCACUUUGCGUCAAAUCGGAAUGUCACUGUGACUGUGCUCUGUGCCCCCAGGGUCUGUAUUCCAGUGUGACGUGUCCAGGGGUCGUAAUGACCAAUCUGACGUAUGGGAUUCUGCCCCCCUUUGUUUGGACGUUGCUUCUCCCGGUGAUAUGGCUCCUUCGCUUUUUUGCACAUGCGUUCACUGUGACACCGUACAAUGGUGC
This 597-nucleotide long non-coding RNA is filed under the name Rattus norvegicus (Norway rat). Its description in RNAcentral is "long non-coding RNA NONRATT008935". Lineage: Eukaryota; Metazoa; Chordata; Mammalia; Rodentia; Muridae. The record is from RNAcentral.